UUAAAAUGGGGGAAUGAAAUAUGAGCUAUCUAUUGCAUAUGCUGGCACAGAGUUAAAAAGGACACCUUUUCAAUGGUGUCAAUGUGUUUCCAAAUAGGACACCAGUUUCUGCCUUUAAUAAAGUUAUAAGGAGCCUUAGCAGUGGAAUUAGAGUCCAACUAGUGUUGAACCGUUAUGAAUAAAUAAAACCUUAUCAUAAUUUCAGAAGGCAGACAUUUCCAAUACAAAAAAAUGCUCUAAAAUGAGCUGUUCAAUUAUCUCUUUAAUGCAUGAAUCGGCAAUAAUCAUCCAGUAAAAUGAGAAAUUGCCAACAACUUCUGAAACAUUUCUGAAAGUAGCCUAUUUUAUAUUUGUUCAGAAACACAAAAGCUUUUUUGGGCGUUUUGUUUGUAAAAUGGUGCAAACACAGGAUGUACGUUUUAAUUGUCAUGGCUAGAAUUUUCUGAGGUCUCAACAUAAAAUGCCUGCUGAAACUGAAAAUAACUCCCGCAGAAACAUUUAGGACAAAGGUAUGAAGUGACAGGAUUAAAAAUAUAUAAGGUCAAAGCUAUUAUAAAAAUCUAGCCUUGUUUUAAAGGUUUUUUAAAUCUGCAAUUGUAGUUCUGCACUUAAUGCAUUAGAAACUGAUUUCUCAGUUGAUAAAUGAAUGAUUCAGUGUCAAACAGCUUUGUGCUAAUCCAGUGUGUUCUAAUCCAGUACCAGGGUGGUUUGUAUUUCAAAUAAAUUGUCUUCAUGCAUUAUUUAAGCCAAACCACUGGAUAAACUUAAAUGUGUAUUCAGCACCUGGUAACAAUAAUAAUUAUAAAGGUGAGUAUCACUGUGCAUAAUGCUGAGUUAAAAUCCUUAUAGUCUUGUAUUACACAACAUACUGUACUAUGAAAUUACAAAUAAAGCCUGUUACACCUCA
Long non-coding RNA from Puntigrus tetrazona (Sumatra barb), 907 nucleotides. RefSeq lists it as uncharacterized. The record is from RefSeq and is a predicted model, not a curated record. The transcript has 2 exons. NCBI's taxonomy places the organism in Eukaryota, Metazoa, Chordata, Actinopteri, Cypriniformes, Cyprinidae.